Molecule: long non-coding RNA, 2988 nt
Filed under: Equus caballus (horse)
Lineage: Eukaryota; Metazoa; Chordata; Mammalia; Perissodactyla; Equidae
Description: lncRNA (ENSECAG00000043822.1)
Source: RNAcentral
CUGCUUUGAAAAUAGUAUUCCAUUGUCUUGAAUCCAGUGUUGCUAUUGAAAUGUCUGAUGGCAUUCUGAUUCGUCUUCUUUUUGUGAUCUGCUAUUCCUCUCUAGCAGCUUUAGAAUCUUUUUGUUGUCUCUAAUCUUAUUAAAGUUCAUUCUAAAAUGUCUAGGUGUGAACUUUUCCUUCUCACUCCUCUUUUCCUAUUUUACCAUUUAAAUCUUGAGUCGUCUUUCUUUAAUUCUGGCAAAUAUGUUUCCAUUAUUCCUUGAGAAGUCUCCUCAUUUCCAAUUUUUCCAGUUCUUUUGAGAAUUCUCUUAUUGAUGUCGGCGUUUCCUCCUCUAUUCUCCAUAUUCUUUAACUUCAAAAAGUCUUUUUCCACAGUUUUCUUCCCUGUGCCCACACGGAACAGUUCCUAACUCUGUGGUCUUCUAAUUUGCUGAUUCACUGCGGAUGCGUCCAUUUUACUAUUUAACCAAUCUGGUUUUUUCUUUAACUUCAACUAUUACAUUAUUCAUAAGUAAUAUUUCUCCUUUAGCCUAUUUUACGCUAUUUUACAACAUUAUAAUAUUGUCAGUAUAUUCCCUUGUCCCUUUCUACAGUGCUUUUAGGCUCUUAGGACUUUUUCCACUGUUCUAAUAACUCUGGGUUAAUGAAAACUGUAACCUCACUUUAUCCCUGUUGCCUCCAACCUGCUCUCUCUCUUUGCUAUAGGUUCUGGUCUGUCCUUCUAGUGUUUCAUUUUGCAAAUAUAAACAGUCUUUUGAAUGUGUUCAUAUGUAUCUCUUGCACAAAAGCCUUUGUAUCAUAGUUCUCUUUUUGCCUUGCACUUCUUCACUUAAUUUUUCGCUGGAGGUCACUCUAGAAUAGUAUACAGAUGAUGUCCUUCUGUUUUGUCAAUGCAUAAUUGAGUGGACAUACCAUAAUUGUUUUCAGCAAGGCCUCUUUUGGUUGACAUCUGGGUUAUUUCCAAAUUUUUACUGUUACAAAUUUUGUAACAAUGGCAAACUUAUUCAUACAUCUUUUCACCUAUAGGCCAGUGUUUUGGGGGGAUAGAUUCCAAAAGGUGAGACUACGGCUUCAGGAGAGGAAUUGCAUAUGUAAUUUUGCUAAAUAUUGCCACACUCUCCUUUAUAGGUGCUAUAAUAUUUUUAUUCCAAUCUGUUGCUACCGUAACGGUUUUUUUGGUCCACAUAAAACUGAAAUUUAAAUUUGUGUCAAUGGCUCCAAUUAUGAUAAAAAUAUUUCCUAAUAUCAUUUCCUGAUGUUUCCAUUCUACGAUUCCUCCUCUGUUGACAUCUCUUUUCUUUACUUUGAUUCUCCAGGUGCCACAGUGCUUGUUUCCCCUUCUCUACUCUUUCUCAGUUUUUACCCCAAUUUAUUCUGGUGUCUUGUCUUUCAUCAUUGACCUUGCUCAGAGUCAAUUAUUUUUUUCUUUUCUAUGUUACAUAUUUCAGGAUAUUUUUUUCCAUAGUUAAGAGAUUUGGUCAAAUAAUCACAAUUCUAUUAAUCAACAUUAUCAUUUCAUGUCAAAUAAGAAACUCAGACGGUGGUUUCAUUCAAAUUUUGAAGGUUGACAAGUUUGUUCAACUGAAUUAUACUGACAUAUUUUCUUAAGUCCUUUGAAUUAAGGCAUUGAUUUUUCCCCCAAAAGGAUGCAUUGGAUUUUCCUGCUUCAUAAUCUUUAUAAUUUGAGGUCAUCUCAUCCAUCCAUGACAUCUGUCACUUCAGUGGUACCCAAGCCAAGCAACAUGGGAAGUUUCCAAUCUUCUCCAAAAACUUCCCAAAGGCUGUUUUAAUUUUAUUUUAAAUUUGAAUAUGCCAGUGCCUGGACUAAACAAUUGUGCUGAUUCUUCUUUCUGUUCUCCCUAAAUCUGGUCUCUCUCACAUGUCUCAGAUGUGCUGCUUGCUACUUUUUUUUUCUUUUGCAGGGAACGAUUCACCCUGAGCUAACAUCUGUUGCCAGUCUUCCUCUUUUUUUUCUCUCCCCGAAGCCCCAGUGCAUGGUUGUACAUCCUAGUUUUACGUCCAUUUUUUCUUCUGUGUGAGCUGCUGCCACAGUAUGCAACUGACAGAUGGAUGGUGUGCUUCCGCAACUGGGAAACGAACCUGGGCUGCUGAAGUGGUGAGAGCACCGAACUUUAAACCACUAGGCCAUCAGGGCUGGCUCACUGUUUGCUACUUUUCCUUUGAAAGUCACCUUUCUUUCCUUUACCAUGACCCACACCAGUAUCACCAAAAUAUCGCCACAGGAAUUCCCAGUCAGAACAGUGAAAAUGGCUUCAUAUCCUCCAGAAUAUGGACUGUCUUGGAUUGGAAUCAGAGGCUUGCAAAACCAUGGAAACUCAGAAUCACAGAACCAUGGAGUCUUGGAACUGAGAGCACAGUGGAGCUGACAUAGUGAUCCAGCCACCAUGGAGAAGAGGUAUGAUUAUCCUGAAACGACAAUACUUUUAAGGAAGCCUAAGCGAGUCACCUGGAGAGGCUACAGGGAAGAGAACUGAAGUGUCCAAGUGACAGCCCCGCAUGAGAUCCCAGCCUUCAGCAGAGACCAACGGCCACCACGUUGGACAUUCCAAAUCGGUUGAACCUCCAGUGAGCCAUCUUGGACAUUCCAAACUGGUUGAGUCUUCAGAUAACGGCAGCCACAGCUCACACCACAUGGAGAAGAACUGACACUGAGGAUGAAGGAGUUAAAAUUUCCCUGGAUUAGGGUGAAACUGUGCCUUUGACCCACAAGGUUAACGUGGGAAACAAAAUAACCAAAGCAUCUGAGCUUGCCUUGCACAACAGCAGGAGGACCGCCGAUAAGAGAGGAAUUUGCUGACAGGCCUCCUCCUGACCCCCCCAGUACAUAGUUGUAUAUUCUUCGUUGUGGGUCCCUCUAGUUGUGGCAUGUGGGACGCCGCCUCAGCGUGGUCUGAUGAGCAGUGCCAUGUCCGCGCCCAGGAUUCAAACCAACGAAACACUGGGCCGCCUGCAGCGGAGCGCGCGAA